This 254-nucleotide ribosomal RNA is filed under the name uncultured bacterium. Its description in RNAcentral is "partial 16S ribosomal RNA". It matches the Rfam family "Bacterial small subunit ribosomal RNA", at positions 524 to 776 of the family's 1533-position model. The record is from RNAcentral.
UACAGAGGUGGCAAGCGUUGUUCGGAAUUACUGGGCGUAAAGGGCGCGUAGGCGGUCCUCUAAGUCUUGUGUGAAAUCCCUCGGCUCAACUGAGGAACUGCACGGGAUACUGGAAGACUUGAGUUCGGGAGAGGGAAGCGGGAUUCCGGGUGUAGCGGUGAAAUGCGUAGAUAUCCGAAGGAACACCGGUGGCGAAGGCGGCUUCCUGGACCGAUUACUGACGCUGAGGCGCGAAAGCUAGGGGAGCAAACGGG